Molecule: long non-coding RNA, 657 nt
Filed under: Medicago truncatula (barrel medic)
Lineage: Eukaryota; Viridiplantae; Streptophyta; Magnoliopsida; Fabales; Fabaceae
Description: long non-coding RNA (MTRU_LNC006775)
Source: RNAcentral
AUAAAUCUUCUGCCGUUUACCAUUUUGGUCAUCUCCGUUAGUUUUUAACAUAAAAAAUCUAAGGUGAACCAUAUUUAAAGAUGGUUCACCGUAGAUCUUAUUAAAUUUUCUAAUUUUAACCAUUUGAUUUUUUCUUUAAAUGAGAACCGUUGAAUUAUGUCGGGUCUAUUAUACUUUACUGUGAAUCAUUAACACCUAAUACUUUUAUCAUUUUCUUCAUCUUCAUCUCUCAUCUUCUUCUUCUUCAUCUUCAUCAAUCCUAUCCAGGAAAAAGCAGUAGCACCAUAUUGAAAACUCAAACUAAAACAAAAAUAAAUUUCAUCAAAUUAAAACACUUAAACAUUCAAAUAGAAUUAAAACCCAGAUUUUUUUUUCUACAAAAAUCCAGAAAUCAUCAUCAAUAGAGCAACAACACAUCAAGAAAUCAAAUUCAACCCUUUUUAAUUCUUUUCAUCAUCAUCAUCAUGAAUUAAAAAAAAAUAGAUUUCUCCAAAUUCAGCACAUCAACAACACAACAACAACAUGGUGCUUUGAAACAACAACAACAACAUCAUAAAAAAAAAAAGUGUGAAAAUGGAAUAUGCAUGAUUUCCAUUAAUUUCAAUUUCAUUUUCUUUCAGCAGAAAGAAAGAACAAUAAUCUGGUUUUGUUUUGUAU